Biomphalaria pfeifferi is the source of this 770-nucleotide non-coding RNA. NCBI's taxonomy places the organism in Eukaryota, Metazoa, Mollusca, Gastropoda, Planorbidae. The record is from the annotation of a GenBank genome assembly.
CUUCUUUUUUUUUUUUUUUUUCUUUCUAAGAGAACACUUUCACUAUAUUUUCAUGGGUGAUAUUCUCUUGAUGGUUUGGCAUUGAACUUUCCAUCCUGUCAUUAUCUCACUAAUGUUUAUCAAAGUACUGGGGUUGUUUUUUUUACUGUUUUUUUAUUUAACUAAAUGCUCCCAGAAUGUGUGCUGAUAUGUUAUUUAAAGUAUUUAUGAUACAGCUGUUGUUGAAUUUCCCAGACAAAUGGUAAACAAUUGAUCAACUCGGUGUAUUCAUCCUACUUAGUGUUCCACUUGGCAUGCAAGUCUUUGAGUUGUUAAAUGUCAUCCCAUAAAAACAGGAUUUUUACUGCAUUUAAUACAAAAGUCUAUUCAAUAUGUUGACAACCAGUUCUUAAAAAGGUCAGACCUACUCAACAAAUUUGAUUUUACUACUGGAAGAAUAAAUUUAAAAAUACUAAAAUAUCCUGUCAGUAUCUCAGAGUGCUAAAUAAUGAAAUAUUAUAUUGUCUUUGUGCACAAAGUGUAGCUUACAUACUUAAACUUUGAUAUUUUGUGCGUGUUGUGUAUGUAACAUAUAAUGGUUAAAGGUCUAGUGCAUGUCUUGAGUUCAAGGAAUAGCAUCCACGUCUUGUAUGCUGUAAUACUUUUCUAAAUGAAAGGCUGGUGAUAGGGCGUUCCACACUGCAGUUCCUGAAGGCAGUCUAGUGCAAAUUUGUUGAUGACUAUGUACAUAGUAUAGAGUAGUCUGUGAAUGGUUCACUGAGCUUUGUUAC